This is a long non-coding RNA of Topomyia yanbarensis, 353 nucleotides long. RefSeq lists it as uncharacterized. The transcript has 3 exons. The record is from RefSeq and is a predicted model, not a curated record. Lineage: Eukaryota; Metazoa; Arthropoda; Insecta; Diptera; Culicidae.
CCACCGUGUACUCGAUCGCGCUGGUAUGAAACGACAACCAGUAGAAGAAAGCCAAUCCGCGUGUGCUGAAGAUUAUAUUCUAAAAAGUUUACUCGAUUUAUAAAUUAUAAAGAUUUAUUUGAAAUUGUAUUUAAAACACAGUUAUACGCUGCAAUUUGCAAGUCGCGUUAGAUGUAUUAACUCGUAAAGCAGCUGUGAUCAUUAUCGGUGAUAGAAAUUCACAUUUAACAAUCUGUAACUAAUUCGAGUCACGAUUAGGUCACUAGUGACGCUGCUGAAGAAUUGACACGAAGUCACAAAUAAGUUGCGAACGCAAAUAUAGGAGGAAUAGAAGAGGAAUAAAUACUAAACGU